Molecule: small nucleolar RNA, 65 nt
Filed under: Carlito syrichta (Philippine tarsier)
Lineage: Eukaryota; Metazoa; Chordata; Mammalia; Primates; Tarsiidae
Description: Small nucleolar RNA SNORD77 (ENSTSYG00000025078.2)
Rfam family: Small nucleolar RNA SNORD77
About the family: U77 belongs to the C/D family of snoRNAs. It is predicted to guide 2'O-ribose methylation of large 28S rRNA subunit at position A1521.
Source: Rfam by way of RNAcentral
GUAUUAUGAUGGUUACAUAGUUCAGCAGACUGAAUGGAAAGAGAUUUACCAUGUCUAAUAUAAUU